This 938-nucleotide ribosomal RNA is filed under the name Lactiplantibacillus plantarum. RNAcentral describes it as "bacterial SSU rRNA". It matches the Rfam family "Bacterial small subunit ribosomal RNA", at positions 64 to 981 of the family's 1533-position model. The record is from RNAcentral. Lineage: Bacteria; Bacillati; Bacillota; Bacilli; Lactobacillales; Lactobacillaceae.
GGUGCUUGCAUCAUGAUUUACAUUUGAGUGAGUGGCGAACUGGUGAGUAACACGUGGGAAACCUGCCCAGAAGCGGGGGAUAACACCUGGAAACAGAUGCUAAUACCGCAUAACAACUUGGACCGCAUGGUCCGAGCUUGAAAGAUGGCUUCGGCUAUCACUUUUGGAUGGUCCCGCGGCGUAUUAGCUAGAUGGUGGGGUAACGGCUCACCAUGGCAAUGAUACGUAGCCGACCUGAGAGGGUAAUCGGCCACAUUGGGACUGAGACACGGCCCAAACUCCUACGGGAGGCAGCAGUAGGGAAUCUUCCACAAUGGACGAAAGUCUGAUGGAGCAACGCCGCGUGAGUGAAGAAGGGUUUCGGCUCGUAAAACUCUGUUGUUAAAGAAGAACAUAUCUGAGAGUAACUGUUCAGGUAUUGACGGUAUUUAACCAGAAAGCCACGGCUAACUACGUGCCAGCAGCCGCGGUAAUACGUAGGUGGCAAGCGUUGUCCGGAUUUAUUGGGCGUAAAGCGAGCGCAGGCGGUUUUUUAAGUCUGAUGUGAAAGCCUUCGGCUCAACCGAAGAAGUGCAUCGGAAACUGGGAAACUUGAGUGCAGAAGAGGACAGUGGAACUCCAUGUGUAGCGGUGAAAUGCGUAGAUAUAUGGAAGAACACCAGUGGCGAAGGCGGCUGUCUGGUCUGUAACUGACGCUGAGGCUCGAAAGUAUGGGUAGCAAACAGGAUUAGAUACCCUGGUAGUCCAUACCGUAAACGAUGAAUGCUAAGUGUUGGGAGGGUUUCCGCCCCUUCCCUGCUGCAGCUAACGCAUUAAGCAUUCCGCCCGGGGGAGUACGGCCCCCAAGGCUGAAAACUCAAACGGAAUUGACUGGGGGCCCCCCACAAACCGGGGGAAGCAAGGUGGGUUUAAUUUCCAAAACUACCCCGAACAAACCU